RNAcentral lists this unclassified non-coding RNA (363 nucleotides) under uncultured bacterium. RNAcentral's name for it is "contains 16S-23S intergenic spacer region". The record is from RNAcentral.
UCCCUGUUGCCAGGGCAGUCUAUUCAGAAAAAUUCAACUGAAUAUAAGGGUUGCGCUCGUUAAUGGACUUAACCAAACAUCUCACGACACGAGCUGACGACGGCCAUGCAUCACCUGUCACUUGGUCCCGAAGGAACACUCCUCUUUCGAGGUAGCUGCCAAGGAUGUCAAACCUGGGUAAGGUUCUUCGCUUAUCGUCGAAUUAAACAACACGCUCCACCGCUUGUGCGGGUCCCCGUCAAUUCCUUUAUGUUUUAAGCUUGCGCUCGUACUCCACAGGCGGGAUGCUUAACGCGUUAGCUUCGCUACUAGAAGGGUCGAUACUCCUAACAGCUAGCAUCCAUCGUUUACGGCGUGGACUAC